Molecule: long non-coding RNA, 853 nt
Organism: Poecilia latipinna (sailfin molly)
Lineage: Eukaryota; Metazoa; Chordata; Actinopteri; Cyprinodontiformes; Poeciliidae
Exons: 2
Source: RefSeq, a predicted model, not a curated record
UGAACUUACUGAACAGACAUCAACAGUGGCAUUUGAAUGUAGUUUCUGAGCCUGCAAUGAAAAAAACAAAAAAAAGAAAUAAAAAUCACAAACCAAAUACUAUUUUAACAGUUAAGCCCAAAAUUAUUCAAACCCUGAGAGAUUUACAUAUUAAGUUAUCUGUUGAUUUGACCAGUGACAUUAAUGUUUAAAAGUCACCCAGCCAGAGUCCUGGCUUGAAUCUGUGGAGAAAGAUACAGAUUAGGGUGAUGGUACGGAGGUCUUCUACUCUCAAACACUUGGAGCUCAUCACCAAAGACAAACAUGUCAUGUUUCAUGUGAAACAUGUUCAAAGAACAAUUUGAUUGUAAUUUUAUUUUAUUUAUUUAACCUUGAUUUUACCAGGAUAAAGUCAGACCUUUCCCCACUAGAACAUCUGUGGGACUAACUGAGACGUCAACUCUGACUCGGUGCCCAUCUGCUGGAUCUCCAGUGUCAAUUACGACAGUUGUGGGCUGACUCAGUCCUGCAUGGAAUCAGUCUGCAUCCGGCCAAGAGCAGAAACUCAGCUCUGCUUCACCAACACAAAAAGGUUUGAGUGUGUUACUUUUUAGUCAGACUGAAGUCAACUUGGCCGUCUCUACUAUAUUAAUCUGUCAUAUUCAUGAACCUCAUUUACUAGACAUUUCAUACAAGGCUCUUUACUUUACAAUACUGAUGAGUAACAUUCUGCCUCCUCCAUCACCCCACAAAGGUCACUCUGGAUCUCACCUCACAUCUGUUUUCCACCUGGAAACCACGGAGUGAGCAACCGUCCCACAAAGCAGUAAUUUCUUCAGACAGCCGGUGGUUAGAAUGAAAGCAUGAUUUGUGG